RNAcentral lists this ribosomal RNA (85 nucleotides) under Halomonas lysinitropha. Lineage: Bacteria; Pseudomonadati; Pseudomonadota; Gammaproteobacteria; Oceanospirillales; Halomonadaceae. The record is from RNAcentral.
UGACGACCAUAGCGUGCGGGAACCACCUGAUCCCUUGCCGAACUCAGCAGUGAAACCGCUCAGCGCCGAUGGUAGUGUGGGGUCU